This 291-nucleotide ribosomal RNA is filed under the name uncultured bacterium. RNAcentral's name for it is "partial 16S ribosomal RNA". It matches the Rfam family "Bacterial small subunit ribosomal RNA", at positions 29 to 318 of the family's 1533-position model. The record is from RNAcentral.
AUUGAACGCUGGCGGCAUGCCUUACACAUGCAAGUCGAACGGCAGCACGGGGCGAACCCUCGUGGCGAGUGGCGAACGGGUGAGUAAUACAUCGGAACGUGCCCCGUACGCGGGGACGAACCAGUCGAAGACUGGCUAAUACCGCAUACGCUCCACGGAGGAAAGACAGGGGAGUCGCAAGACCUUGCACUAUGGGAGCGGCCGAUGCCCGAUUAGCUAGUUGGUGAGGUAAAGGACUCACCAAGGCAACGAUCGGUAGCUGGUCUGAGAGGACGACCAGCCACACUGGGA